This 399-nucleotide transfer-messenger RNA is filed under the name Flectobacillus longus. It matches the Rfam family "transfer-messenger RNA". Rfam says of the family: Bacterial tmRNA, also known as 10Sa RNA or SsrA, is named for its dual tRNA and mRNA-like properties. Its role is to liberate the mRNA from a stalled ribosome. The record is from RNAcentral. Lineage: Bacteria; Pseudomonadati; Bacteroidota; Cytophagia; Cytophagales; Flectobacillaceae.
GGGGACGACCGGUAUUGACAGCUUGUGUAUUCUGAUAGUAAGCACGUCGGGAGUAGGGUAGACCUCCUGUUAAAAAUCAACUCAAACCAUAACUGGCAAUACUUCGUAUGCCAUGGCAGCUUAAUUCCUAAUUUAGGAUAAGUCAUAGGUCGCUUUCAACUAGGUUGAUGCUUCCUGCCACAUCCCUCCAUGCUAAACUCUGCCGUGUGGAAUUGGGGUGACGACAAGCAGAGUCGGGUUUUGCUGAUGUCUCUGAGUAAAAUCUAGUAUACCGAGCCUACGGAAUAUUUUUGGUCCGGCUUGAACCAAAGUAUUCCCGACAAUUAAUCAAGACUAAACGUGUAGAAAGCUAUGAGUUUCCUUGUCUGGACGAGAGUUCGAAUCUCUCCGUCUCCACUA